This 3115-nucleotide long non-coding RNA is filed under the name Sus scrofa (pig). Its description in RNAcentral is "lncRNA (ENSSSCG00000060838.1)". Lineage: Eukaryota; Metazoa; Chordata; Mammalia; Artiodactyla; Suidae. The record is from RNAcentral.
AAGACUGGACAAACUAACAGUUUUUAUUCAUUAAAGUCGAAAAUUUUAUAUUUAUUGAAAUUGUUCUUCCCUUUGUGUCCGCUUUUUACAUACACAUAUUCACAAACCUAAUUAAUACAAUAUUUUUAUAUGUAAAUAUUUAGCUUGAUAUUUUAAUCUAAACAGAAAUAGAUGAAAAUAAAGUGGUAACACAUGCUUUCAUUGCAUUUGAAUAAAUGUCAAGUUGACCUAAACAAAUACAAGGGCUUGUAAGAUCAAAAUACAUCUCCCUUGUAAGAUGAUCAUCACAGAGUUGUGAAAUUGUGCUACUCUUGUUUCUAGUUUAUAUUUAUUUCCAUCGUAAUACAUUAUUGGCUGGAGUUAUUUGUCAGUCUUGAGCCUUGCCACUCAUAAAAUCAUAAAAACUAUUUUUUUCAUUAAAAAGGAUGAUAGGAAGGUCUAUCUCAUAAAUAAAAGGGAUGAAGUGAUGUAGUUUAAAAUGUCAUCCCAUGAAACAUUAGUAUAAACUGUGGAGUAAGGGCCUCUGAAAAUUCCUUCAUAAAAGCAAUGAUAAAACUGACAAAAUAAAAUGUCAGAAUCAACUUUUCUAGACCUCUGGAAAGGAGCCAGACAUUUGCAGCAGUUCAGGGGGUAUAUAUUAAAAAAAAAUGUUGAGUCUUGGUAUUACAGAGAGCUUCAUGAUGUUUUAAUUUGCCUGUUUCUAUAUCAUUCUGUCCAGCCCUACAGCAGAGUUAAAAAACUAACAGGCCACAAUCUGGUGAAACCAAUAGCCUGGUAGCCACCAUAGGAAACAAAGUGGGAUUAUAGCUUGUUCAAAUCUUCAUGCCGAAAAAAGUUAUUAUAAUUUGACCAAUCUUCUACUUCUCUGUAAGAUCUUACUUAGAAGAAUGUCUAUAUAUUACCUAACUUGAAAUUCCGCUAGAGGAAUAAAUUUUUCUCCCUGAGUGAUUAUCAAACACAAUUACAGAGAACUGAUUAACUUUGGUUGGCCUGGGGUGAAAAAUAAAUAGUUAGGACAAACGAUAGGCAAACCAAAAAUCCUUAAAAGGAAAAGUUGAGAAAUAAGAUUUCUAUAGAGUCACGACAACCUUUCAGUGUAUUCCUGUGAAGUAUAAAACACACUUGUGGAUUAAUUCUGUCUUUAUGGGCAAAAACGACUUGAGACAGCCUUCCAUUUUCACUUUAGCCUAACCUUGAGGCUCUCCUCAAGCAGGAAAUAACAACAAAGGCUGAAUUGUUACCUAACUGCCUAAAUGUGGAAGGCAUGGCCCAAUACACACACAGAGUCCUUCAUAAGAUAUUAUGAGACAUACAAAUUCCAGGUAAUUAAGGAAAUGUCUUAACUAACUAUCUGAGCGGAGACCUCAAUGGCCAAACAUGGCACAGAAUACAUACUUUACGGAAUGUAGUUCAGACAAGUUAUUAAACAAGCGAAGAAUAACAGCAGACUCUGAGAGAAUUACGAAUCUUAUUACCAGAAAUGCUGCAUUCUAUUAUUUAAUUCUUUAGGUCUCAGCAAAAAAACUAUGGGACAUGCCAGGAAGUUGAAAACCAGACGUUUGCAGGAGAUAGUAUGUAUUUUUUAGAGCAAUAGAAGAUGAAAGAAACAAAAUAUACACUGCUUCUGACCAUGAGGAAUUAAUUAGUACUAGGUCCACUCUUUCACUAUAAACCACAAAAGCACUGUGAAAUAUAUGACACAACUAUUUAUUGAUAUUGAAUUAAAGGCAAUAAAGGGCUGGUAUCCCUGUGAAAAGGUAAAUAAAUGAGGCAAAUCAUACUGGAUUUCUGCCAGCUAGUAGUUUAUGGACAGAUUAAAGAAUAACAUCCUUAGCAGUACAGAAUGGUUUCACUGAGUUAAGACAGAAAUCAGAGUGGAAGAUUUUAAGGUGUCUGGAGUCCAAGAAAGAGAGAGCUGAAGAGGAGAGAAAGAGCUACAAAAGUAUACAUAAUGGUCCUGUUGAUUCUGUGGCUGAAUAAUAAGUAUCACAUUAAAGGACUAAAACUCUAUUAGUCUAGAGGAUGAGUCCUUAAGUAUCCACAGAACUACUACUAGAAUAAUAAGUGGACUUAACAAGAUUGCAGGAUAAAAGAGUAAUAUAAAAGUUAUUUAUAUAUGCUAGCAGUACACAACUGAAAAAAGGGUGUUAAAAAAAUUUACAGUAAGAUAAAAACUGAACAAAAUACGUAUAAAACUGGAACAAUGAGAACUAUGAAACAUUACUGAGAGACAUUGGGAAUACCUAAAAAAAGUAUAAAAGAUACUAUAUUCAUGGAUUGAAAUAUUUACUAUUGGUAAAUUAACUCUGCAGAAAUUGAACUCUAGUUUUAACACACUCCCAAUGAAACAAAUCCCCAUUCACCCAGGACGUGUUGUAGGAUCUAGAAACAGCCAAGAGAAAAAUGUUGGAAAAUAUUUGUAUUUAAUUCUAAGACCAACUUUAAGACUACUAUAAUGAAGACAGUGUGAUAUAUUCAUAUAUUGAUAAAUAUGUGUAUCAAUAGUAUAGAAUAGAUUAUCAGGAAAUUGACACAUUGGAAAAUUAUACAUAUACAAUAUACAUGUACAACUGAAGUACUUUGCUGUACAUCAGAAAUGAACACAGAAUUGUUAUGCUGUAUCUAUCUAUUAAUCAACCAAAUAUACUUCAAUUUAAAAAAAAUAGACCCAUUAUUUGAAAGUUGUACCAAAAUGAAGCUAAGAAAAGGAGACACACAUGUAUAUUACCAACUUACUUUUUAAAAUAGUGCCAAGAUAAUUAGAGAAGAAAAGAAACUAUUUUCAACACAUAAUGCUAGAAUAACUAGGUAUCUGUAGAGAAAAACAGGCCUAAUUUUCAUGUCACCAGAUACACAGAAAUUAAAUUAUUGCCUUUCUGGUGGGAAUGUUAAAUGCGACAAAGAUCAUGUAAUAUACGUAUUAUAUUGUUAAACACACACUUGCCAUACAAUCCAGUGUUUAUCCUAGGAAUAUAUGUUUGAGAAAUGAAAUAUAUGCCUAAAAAAUGUUUUUCACAAAUAUUAAUACUGAAUUUAUUAAUAAUAUCCCAAAUUGGAAAUAAUAUAAAUAUCUAUUAACAGAUGAUUUUAGUGAUAAACAUAUGAUUAGACUACU